GUGGGGAAUAUUGCACAAUGGGCGAAAGCCUGAUGCAGCGACGCCGCGUGAGCGAAGAAGUAUUUCGGUAUGUAAAGCUCUAUCAGCAGGGAAGAAAAAUGACGGUACCUGACUAAGAAGCACCGGCUAAAUACGUGCCAGCAGCCGCGGUAAUACGUAUGGUGCAAGCGUUAUCCGGAUUUACUGGGUGUAAAGGGAGCGCAGGCGGUACGGCAAGUCUGAUGUGAAAGCCCGGGGCUCAACCCCGGUACUGCAUUGGAAACUGUCGAACUAGAGUGUCGGAGGGGUAAGUGGAAUUCCUAGUGUAGCGGUGAAAUGCGUAGAUAUUAGGAGGAACACCAGUGGCGAAGGCGGCUUACUGGACGAUCACUGACGCUGAGGCUCGAAAGCGUGGGGAGCAAACAGG
Molecule: ribosomal RNA, 406 nt
Filed under: uncultured rumen bacterium
Lineage: Bacteria
Description: bacterial SSU rRNA
Rfam family: Bacterial small subunit ribosomal RNA
Source: RNAcentral